This 253-nucleotide ribosomal RNA is filed under the name uncultured bacterium. RNAcentral describes it as "partial 16S ribosomal RNA". It matches the Rfam family "Bacterial small subunit ribosomal RNA", at positions 524 to 776 of the family's 1533-position model. The record is from RNAcentral.
UACAGAGGGUGCAAGCGUUGUUCGGAAUUAUUGGGCGUAAAGGGCGCGUAGGCGGUGCCACAAGUCACCUGUGAAAUCUCCGGGCUUAACUCGGAGCCUGCAGGCGAAACUGUGGUGCUGGAGUGUGGGAGAGGUGCGUGGAAUUCCCGGUGUAGCGGUGAAAUGCGUAGAUAUCAGGAGGAACACCUGUGGCGAAAGCGGCUCACUGGACCAUAACUGACGCUGAUGCACGAAAGCUAGGGGAGCAAACAGG